This 273-nucleotide ribosomal RNA is filed under the name uncultured bacterium. RNAcentral describes it as "partial 16S ribosomal RNA". It matches the Rfam family "Bacterial small subunit ribosomal RNA", at positions 524 to 796 of the family's 1533-position model. The record is from RNAcentral.
AACGUAGGAGGCGAGCGUUAUCCGGAGUUACUGGGCGUAAAGAGCGUGUAGGCGGGUUUGCAAGUUUGGCGUGAAAGCUCCCGGCUAAACUGGGAGAGUGCGCUGAAGACUGCGAAUCUAGAGGCGAGUAGAGGGACGUGGAAUUCCGGGUGUAGUGGUGAAAUGCGUAGAGAUCCGGAGGAACACCAGUGGCGAAGGCGACGUCCUGGGCUUGACCUGACGCUGAGACGCGACAGCACGGGGAGCGAACGGGAUUAGAAACCCCCGUAGUCC